Molecule: ribosomal RNA, 273 nt
Filed under: Triticum aestivum (bread wheat)
Lineage: Eukaryota; Viridiplantae; Streptophyta; Magnoliopsida; Poales; Poaceae
Description: partial small subunit ribosomal RNA
Source: RNAcentral
AUGUACAUGGGCUCCAACCCCACCUCAGAUAGCAGGAACUCGGACUUGCGCUGUAGCAUACCACCUGAAGGUGUUCUUCAAGUAGUCCACUUUGGCGGCGAUCUUGUCCUCACUGAGAAACGCGACAGCCUGCAGCGCUUGCCUGAACAUCCCAGAGCCACGCGGCACACCUAAUCUGUCAGCACAUGCCACCAUCGCACGGACGUGCUCCGGGUUGGUGGCCAGCAUCCUCGACACAGCGACACACGGAUUGACAAUAUCGCAGUCACCUAA